GGCUCAGGACGAACGCUGGCGGCGUGCCUAACACAUGCAAGUCGAACGGGGUUGAGUGCUUCGGUAUUCAACCUAGUGGCGAACGGGUGAGUAACGCGUGAAGAACCUGCCCUUCAGUGGGGGACAACAGUUGGAAACGACUGCUAAUACCGCAUGACGCUUCUUGGGGGCAUCCCCAAGAAGUCAAAGCUUUAUGUGCUGAAAGAUGGCUUCGCGUCUGAUUAGCUAGAUGGCGGGGUAACGGCUCACCAUGGCGACGAUCAGUAGCCGGUCUGAGAGGAUGAACGGCCACAUUGGGACUGAGAUACGGCCCAGACUCCUACGGGAGGCAGCAGUGGGGAAUAUUGGGCAAUGGGGGAAACCCUGACCCAGCAACGCCGCGUGAAGGAAGAAGGCCUUCGGGUUGUAAACUUCUUUUACCAGGGACGAAGGACGUGACGGUACCUGGAGAAAAAGCAACGGCUAACUACGUGCCAGCAGCCGCGGUAAUACGUAGGUUGCAAGCGUUGUCCGGAUUUACUGGGUGUAAAGGGCGUGUAGGCGGAGAUGCAAGUCGGGAGUGAAAUCCAUGGGCUCAACCCAUGAACUGCUUUCGAAACUGUAUCCCUUGAGUAUCGGAGAGGCAAGCGGAAUUCCUAGUGUAGCGGUGAAAUGCGUAGAUAUUAGGAGGAACACCAGUGGCGAAGGCGGCUUGCUGGAUGACAACUGACGCUGAGGCGCGAAAGCGUGGGGAGCAAACAGGAUUAGAUACCCUGGUAGUCCACGCUGUAAACGAUGAAUACUAGGUGUGGGAGGACUGACCCCUUCCGUGCCGCAGUUAACACAAUAAGUAUUCCACCUGGGGAGUACGACCGCAAGGUUGAAACUCAAAGGAAUUGACGG
This 882-nucleotide ribosomal RNA is filed under the name uncultured bacterium. RNAcentral describes it as "bacterial SSU rRNA". It matches the Rfam family "Bacterial small subunit ribosomal RNA", at positions 21 to 916 of the family's 1533-position model. The record is from RNAcentral.